AUCUGCCUUUGAGCGGGGGACAACCUUUGGAAACGAAUGCUAAUACCGCAUAACAACUUUAAACACAAGUUUUAAGUUUGAAAGAUGCAAUUGCAUCACUCAAAGAUGAUCCCGCGUUGUAUUAGCUAGUUGGUGAGGUAAAGGCUCACCAAGGCGAUGAUACAUAGCCGACCUGAGAGGGUGAUCGGCCACAUUGGGACUGAGACACGGCCCAAACUCCUACGGGAGGCAGCAGUAGGGAAUCUUCGGCAAUGGACGAAAGUCUGACCGAGCAACGCCGCGUGAGUGAAGAAGGUUUUCGGAUCGUAAAACUCUGUUGGUAGAGAAGAACGUUGGUGAGAGUGGAAAGCUCAUCAAGUGACGGUAACUACCCAGAAAGGGACGGCUAACUACGUGCCAGCAGCCGCGGUAAUACGUAGGUCCCGAGCGUUGUCCGGAUUUAUUGGGCGUAAAGCGAGCGCAGGUGGUUUAUUAAGUCUGGUGUAAAAGGCAGUGGCUCAACCAUUGUAUGCAUUGGAAACUGGUAGACUUGAGUGCAGGAGAGGAGAGUGGAAUUCCAUGUGUAGCGGUGAAAUGCGUAGAUAUAUGGAGGAACACCGGUGGCGAAAGCGGCUCUCUGGCCUGUAACUGACACUGAGGCUCGAAAGCGUGGGGAGCAAACAGGAUUAGAUACCCUGGUAGUCCACGCCGUAAACGAUGAGUGCUAGAUGUAGGGAGCUAUAAGUUCUCUGUAUCGCAGCUAACGCAAUAAGCACUC
RNAcentral lists this ribosomal RNA (757 nucleotides) under uncultured bacterium. RNAcentral describes it as "bacterial SSU rRNA". It matches the Rfam family "Bacterial small subunit ribosomal RNA", at positions 124 to 869 of the family's 1533-position model. The record is from RNAcentral.